Molecule: ribosomal RNA, 497 nt
Filed under: uncultured bacterium
Lineage: Bacteria
Description: partial 16S ribosomal RNA
Rfam family: Bacterial small subunit ribosomal RNA
Source: RNAcentral
GACGAACGCUGGCGGCGUGCCUAAUACAUGCAAGUAGAACGCUGAAGAGAGGAGCUUGCUCUUCUUGGAUGAGUUGCGAACGGGUGAGUAACGCGUAGGUAACCUGCCUGGUAGCGGGGGAUAACUAUUGGAAACGAUAGCUAAUACCGCAUAAAAUUGCUUAUUGCAUGAUACUUAAUUGAAAGAUGCAACUGCAUCACUACCAGAUGGACCUGCGUUGUAUUAGCUAGUUGGUGAGGUAACGGCUCACCCAGGCGACGAUACAUGGCCGACCUGAGAGGGUGAUAGGCCACAAUGGGACUGAGACACGGCCCAGACUCCUACGGGAGGCAGCAGUAGGGAAUAUUCGGCAAUGGGGGGAACCCUGAACGAGCAACGCCGCGUGAGUGAAGAAGGUUUUCGGAUCGGAAAGCUCUGUUGUAAGAGAAGAACGGGUGUGAGAGUGGAAAGUUCACACUGUGACGGUAUCUUACCAGAAAGGGACGGCUAACUACGUG